AAAGUUUCCCCUAGUAAACGGAUACCGGUUUUGAAGAACUAGGGAAUCUCUUUGGUGUCAAAGGGUAUGCUACAUUCGUCAGUACAGGUGGCAAGGAGUCCGAGUCCACCUAGCCAUGCCCGUCUGCAUGAACAAUAUGCUACUUGAACGGGACGUUUUUCGGACAAGGAAAGUGGCGUGCAUUAAGUCUCACAUUUCUUGUAACAUCUGUUGUAAUAAUUUGUAUGAUACUCUA
Drosophila biarmipes is the source of this 235-nucleotide long non-coding RNA. RefSeq lists it as uncharacterized. NCBI's taxonomy places the organism in Eukaryota, Metazoa, Arthropoda, Insecta, Diptera, Drosophilidae. The transcript is spliced from 2 exons. The record is from RefSeq and is a predicted model, not a curated record.